RNAcentral lists this transfer RNA (71 nucleotides) under Camelus bactrianus (Bactrian camel). It matches the Rfam family "tRNA". From Rfam's summary of the family: Transfer RNA (tRNA) molecules are approximately 80 nucleotides in length. The record is from Rfam by way of RNAcentral. Lineage: Eukaryota; Metazoa; Chordata; Mammalia; Artiodactyla; Camelidae. RNAcentral also lists the same sequence under 2 other names.
GGGAGCAUAGCUCAGUGGUGAGCACAUGCUUAGCAUGCAUGAGGUCCUGGGUUCAAUCCCCAGUACCUCCU